This is an unclassified non-coding RNA of Cavia porcellus (domestic guinea pig), 185 nucleotides long. The record is from Ensembl. Lineage: Eukaryota; Metazoa; Chordata; Mammalia; Rodentia; Caviidae.
GGAUGUGCUGGCCUCGUGGCUUGUCUGAUUUGCACGGUGACUUGAUUACACGCUCGCAUUCAUGGUCACUUCCGAAGCGCUUUAGUGCCUUCCGUCCCUAAACCGCCAACAGCCAGGGCGGCUUUCCGCGCGGAUUGUCAGUGAUCCACGGGUCCGGAAGGGCCUUCGUCUUACCCGGGAUCCAC